RNAcentral lists this microRNA precursor (94 nucleotides) under Canis lupus familiaris (dog). RNAcentral describes it as "mir-8834 microRNA precursor family". It matches the Rfam family "mir-8834 microRNA precursor family". The record is from Rfam by way of RNAcentral. Lineage: Eukaryota; Metazoa; Chordata; Mammalia; Carnivora; Canidae.
AGGAGCAACAGCCCCAGUGGCGGGGCAGCUCUGGAAACCUGGAUUCAGCUCCGGCAGGAACUCCGUCUGCAGGGCCUGGAGGCUCUGGGGCGGG